AAUGGAAGCAAGGUGACUUCCAACUCACUACUAAGGUUCGGAAUCCUACCCUUGAAACAAGUAUUGACAUCUUUCAUCUUUGCUAGAUAUAUCCACGCCUGCAUGUUAAAUCAGAUUUUCAUGUAAUUUCUUUUUAAAAAGAAAAAUCAAAGUUAAUGUUGAUGGCUUUGCUUGGAAUUGAAACAAAAAUGGAAAGCCAGAUUAUAAAAAAAGGUUAUGAUCGUAAGGGCUGGUAUAGUAGACACUGUAGCUUGUUGAAAUGUGAUGACCAGGUUGUAAAUUACGGGAUUUGUAUAACGCUGCUUAGGAAGGAGCUCUGCUUUAACUUUUGGUCUUCUAGUUCGAUUUCUGCUUUAGCUUUACUCAGGAGAAAACUUUACAUUCUUUCUUGUUGGCUCAGUUUAGUCGAAAAUCCGUGGGCAUCAUUGGUCUAGGUAGAAUUGGGACUGCCAUCGCAAAGAGGGCUGAAGCCUUCAGCUGCCCAAUCAAUUACUACUCAAGAACAGUGAAGCCUGACGUAGCCUACAAGUAUUAUCCAACGGUGGUUGACCUCGCUAAAAACUCAGACAUCCUUGUGGUGGCAUGCCCUUUGACAGACGAGACCACACACAUUGUGAACCGGCAGGUGAUGGAUGCAUUAGGAGCAAAGGGUGUGCUGAUAAACAUAGGCCGUGGACCACAUGUUGACGAGCAAGAGCUUGUAAAAGCUCUAACAGAAGGCCGGCUGGGUGGAGCUGCCCUGGACGUUUUUGAGAAAGAGCCUCACGUGCCUGAGGAGCUCUUUGGCCUUGAAAAUGUCAUUCUCCUCCCUCACGUGGGGAGUGGCACUGUGGAGACACGUAAUGCCAUGGCCGAUCUUGUGCUGGGUAACCUGGAAGCACACUUUUCUGGGAAGUCGCUUCUGACUGCGGUGGUCUGAAUAAUAAUACACUUGAGAUUUGGUUUCAUUUGAAAGACUUUUCAUUGACUCAUUUCUCACCACAUUAAGAUACACUGUCGUACUUUACCAAAAAAAAAAAAAAAAAAAAAAGAUGCACUGUCGUAUAUAAGGAAUAAUAAAUUUUGAACACUAGUUGAAACACAAGCCAAAACCUUACAAAAUUUGUUUUUGUGUUCAAUAUAUUUUUAGCACAUUACGUUAGAACUUUGUUAACCCAUAACUUAACAAUACCGUUUGCCAGUCUAAUCACCAGAAGACUUCAUUAUCAGGUGAACAUAUAUAUAAAAGGUAGAGAGAAAAGUAUGACAUAACACAAACACCAAGCACAGGAAAAUAUAAUUGCUCAACAAUCACUUUUUUAGCGAAACACCAAGCACAUGAAAAUAUAAUCGCUCAACAAUCACUUUUUAGGGGAUUGGUGGUUGGACAAAGGUUGCAAGUUGCAAUUUACCUUAACGCUGCCAAAUCUUUGAAAUACAUCCUUGAGAACCUCAGAGCCAACAGAAUCACUGCUGUUCCAUGGGGGAACCACAAGAUGAUUAUCAUUUCUCUCCUUGCACAUGAUUUAUCUGUGCGGGAAUCUCCAGUUUCCUUCUUUCUAUCAUUUUCUUCCAAUCUCUCCACAAUGCCUGUCUUUUUAUCUUCCUGUUCUCUGAUUUUACUGUUGCUUAGAGAGCAGUUCAUAUAUAUUUUUAGAGAUGAAAAGUAUUGAAAAACGAGAAAGUACCUUUGAUCAUUACUUUUUCUCCAAUGGCUAUCCAUUUCAAUGUGAAUUUGACAAGCUGACCUCUGUGGAAUUCGUAGCAAUACAUAUGAGCCAACUAGCAUUUCAUCAAUCAAGAAGCACUUUGGUGACACAAAACAAAUAACAAACUGACUCAUUAUGUCUAGGACUUGAGCCUAAUUUUCCGAGUUGACAGUCAAAAUCAAUCCUGUAUAGCAAACAGGAAUAGUCCGGUCAUGCCAAUCUGCUACAUACGAAAAGCAAACACAAACCAUCAUACUUACUUUGGUAUUAGUACUAACUUGGCGCCGGCAUCUCUGCCCUGGUUGAGGAAUUCAUCUCUGGGAAGAUUGCUGUCGCUGAAGUAGAACUCCACCUUCCACCUUUAUUAUAUUAAACAGUAGAAGGGAUCGGGGGAAUAAGAGAUGAAAAUGAAGGAAGGCUAGAGAAAAUUGCAGACCUCCUGGUCCUGGGUAAGCAACUUGCUGGGGGUUUCUUCGUUGAAGGAAGCCAGCGAUUGGCGAGGAAGAGAGAAGAGGGGUUGGAUCUGAUACAUUAAUAGGCCCAUCUACUUAUUAAGCCUAGUUGAUUAUACACUGAAAGGCCCAUCCUUUAAUUUAAUUGGGCUUGAAAGGCCCAUCCUUUAAUUUAAUUGGGCUUGAAAGGCCCAUCCUUUAAUUUAAUUGGGCUUUUCAAUCUUCCAUUCGAGCCCAUCAAAAGCUGAACUGGAG
RNAcentral lists this long non-coding RNA (2395 nucleotides) under Capsella grandiflora. RNAcentral describes it as "long non-coding RNA (CGRA_LNC001699)". Lineage: Eukaryota; Viridiplantae; Streptophyta; Magnoliopsida; Brassicales; Brassicaceae. The record is from RNAcentral.